GAUGAAGAACGUAGCGAAAUGCGAUACUUGGUGUGAAUUGCAGAAUCCCGUGAACCAUCGAGUCUUUGAACGCAAGUUACGCCCGAAGCCAUUAGGCCGAGGGCACGCCUGCCUGGGCGUCACACGUCGUUGCCCCCCCAUCUACUCCUUCGGGAUUGCGGGGGGCGGAUGAUGGCCUCCCGUGCGCCUCGCCGCGCGGUUGGCAUAAAUGCCAAGUCCUCGGCGACGCACGCCACGACAAUCGGUGGUUGCGAAACCUCGGUUGCCCGUCGUGUGCGGUCGUCGCGCAUCGAGGGCUCGAAAAAAUUGCCGGGUUCCGGCUCGGCUUUCAACGCGACCCCAGGUCAGGCGGGGUUACCCGCUGAAUUUAAGCAUAUCAAUAAGCGGAGGA
RNAcentral lists this unclassified non-coding RNA (391 nucleotides) under soil metagenome. Its description in RNAcentral is "partial contains 5.8S ribosomal RNA, internal transcribed spacer 2, and large subunit ribosomal RNA". The stretch from base 1 to 122 matches the Rfam family "5.8S ribosomal RNA", at positions 35 to 154 of the family's 154-position model. The record is from RNAcentral.